This 492-nucleotide ribosomal RNA is filed under the name uncultured bacterium. RNAcentral describes it as "partial 16S ribosomal RNA". It matches the Rfam family "Bacterial small subunit ribosomal RNA", at positions 29 to 507 of the family's 1533-position model. The record is from RNAcentral.
AGUGAACGCUGGCGGUAGGCCUAACACAUGCAAGUCGAACGGCAGCACAGUAAGAGCUUGCCCUUACGGGUGGCGAGUGGCGGACGGGUGAGGAAUACAUCGGAAUCUACUUUUUCGCGGGGGAUAACGUAGGGAAACUUACGCUAAUACCGCAUACGACCUACGGGUGAAAGCAGGGGAUCUUCGGACCUUGCGCGAUUGAAUGAGCCGAUGUCGGAUUAGCUAGUUGGCGGGGUAAAGGCCCACCAAGGCGACGAUCCGUAGCUGGUCUGAGAGGAUGAUCAGCCACACUGGAACUGAGACACGGUCCAGACUCCUACGGGAGGCAGCAGUGGGGAAUAUUGGACAAUGGGCGCAAGCCUGAUCCAGCCAUACCGCGUGGGUGAAGAAGGCCUUCGGGUUGUAAAGCCCUUUUGUUGGGAAAGAAAAGCAGCAGGUUAAUACCCCGCUGUUCUGACGGUACCCAAAGAAUAAGCAUCGGCUAACUUCGUG